UACGAGGGGGGCGAGCGUUGUUCGGAAUUAUUGGGCGUAAAGGGUGCGUAGGCGGUUCCGCAAGUCCUGUGUGAAAUCUUCGGGCUCAACUCGAAGUCUGCACGGGAAACUGCGGGGCUUGAGUGUGGGAGAGGUGAGUGGAAUUCCCGGUGUAGCGGUGAAAUGCGUAGAUAUCUGCAGGAACACCCGUGGCGAAAGCGGCGCGCUGGACCACUACUGACGCUGAGGAACGAAAGCUAGGGGAGCAAACAGG
RNAcentral lists this ribosomal RNA (253 nucleotides) under uncultured bacterium. RNAcentral's name for it is "partial 16S ribosomal RNA". It matches the Rfam family "Bacterial small subunit ribosomal RNA", at positions 524 to 776 of the family's 1533-position model. The record is from RNAcentral.